UACGAAGGCCCCGAGCGUUAACCGAAAUAAUUGGGCGUAAAGCAUCUGUAGGCGGAGUGGCACGUCUGCUGUUAAAUCCUGGGGCUCAACCCCAUGGGCUGCAGUGGAUACGGCCACCCUUGAGGGACGGAGAGGUAGACGGAACUCCUGGUGGAGCGGUGAAAUGCGUUGAUAUCAGGGGGAACACCAAUUGCGAAGGCAGUCUACUGGUCGUCUCCUGACGCUGAGAGAUGACAGCGUGGGUAGCGAAUGGG
Molecule: unclassified non-coding RNA, 254 nt
Filed under: uncultured Parcubacteria group bacterium
Lineage: Bacteria
Description: contains 16S-23S intergenic spacer region
Rfam family: Bacterial small subunit ribosomal RNA
Source: RNAcentral